Molecule: non-coding RNA, 21 nt
Filed under: Rattus norvegicus (Norway rat)
Lineage: Eukaryota; Metazoa; Chordata; Mammalia; Rodentia; Muridae
Source: RNAcentral
UGCCACAACCGGUCUUCAAAA